This 1403-nucleotide long non-coding RNA is filed under the name Chelydra serpentina (North American snapping turtle). RNAcentral describes it as "lncRNA (ENSCSRG00000006907.1)". Lineage: Eukaryota; Metazoa; Chordata; Testudines; Chelydridae. The record is from RNAcentral.
GGACGGGGGAGGGGGGGUUCCUGCUGCGGAGCCUGGCGGGCUCGCUGACUACAGGCAAGUCCUAGCAACAACAAGAGCGAUCCUGCACCUUUAUUCCCCAAAGUUUGCAGCCUGGAGAACGAGAGAGCCAACGGCAGGACUGCAGCAGCCUGGGGGGAAAUGCCUCUGAAGAAGCUUCCUCCAAAGGCUGGGCUGCGGCAGUGCCUCUGAAGCCAAAUCUGGCCACAUUCUUGCACGGGAAUUAGGGGGAGUGGAUCGAGCGGAUCUCUUCGGGGAUUUGCCAUUCCUGCUCCCCUUGCGGGCCGUGGAAGGACCGCUUCCUCCCCCCUCGGUCUGGGGCUAUUAGGGCUCAUUCCGGGUUUCUUAUUUUACGCUCUGUUUGAAGCUGCGUUGUGUACUGGCCCCCUGCACAGCUGGGCGCCCGACGCCACGCAGCGCCUUCCGCUAAUCCGCGCGGCCACCCUCUGCUUGCGGGUUCUGCCCGCGCCAGCUGUUUCUGCACCUCUGCACACCGGCAGCCGGCCCCGGCCUCUGGAGAGCCGCGGCAGUUCUACUCAGCACAGCUGUAUGCCCGCCGCAGUUUCCGCACAUCUGGAUUCGCUGGAGUCUUGGGCCUUCCAUGCGCUGCUGGUGCUGCCCUAUAUGUUUUACGUAGGCUUGUUCUUUGUCAAUGUGCUGAUUCUCUACUAUGCCUUCCUGAUGGAGUAUAUCGUCCUCAAUGUAGGGAUCGUGUUCCUGCCUGAAGACAUGGACCAGGCUCUGGUGGAUUUGGGGGUGCUGUCAGACUCUGGCUCGGUGCUCUAUGACACGGACAGCGAGCUGGAUGUGUUUGAUGGGUAUUUGGAAUAACAAGCAAAAAGCGUGCAGAAAGUGACUAGGGAAUAACGCCACACACACCCACCCCCCCGGGGGGCAAGAAUUGGAGGGCUCGUGUUGCUCUUGGUGGCCAUGGCUAAGGGAUCACCAGACCCCUGUGCUGUCCUUGCAUCUGAUUUCACUCAGCGCGGCGUCGUAUGCUCUAAAUGGCCCCACCGGUGCAAGUGUCAGUGGGGGCUGCUGCCUCUCGCUGAGGUGCCCAGGACCUGCUCAUGGGAUGGGAACUGGAGGCUGCGGCAGAGGCCCUGGUGGGGAGCUGGAGACAGACAGAGGGGGCACUGCCGGGCUCCCAAGCGCUGGUUAUAUCAGGAAUUAGAAGGAAUACAGUGCCGGAUACAAAAUAAAGACACGUCAUUUCGUCUGCAUUGUUAUGACCGGGGAGGAACAGCAACUUCAAAGACAGAAUUAGCAAAAAGAGCAUGACUUUAAAAAAAAAAAUAUUGGUGUUAUGCUUUAGCAGCUGAACCAGCAUUAUAUGCUUGCUGGUGUUUUUGUAGUGAGUAGGAUGACUGCAUUUAUAAGAUCUA